AGCAAUGGAGGAUUUGAGCUGUUCUGGAUUCAUUCUAUGAUGCUUAGAUCUCUCUGCUGAAGCUGACCCAGAAAUGUUGGAUUAAUCCCUGUAAUCCAUGUAUAACACCAUGUAACCCAGUGAUGCUUUCAGUUCCCAGUUUCCAGUUCUUGGCCAUUGAGAGAAGAAAGGAGUUUUACCAGGCACAGAUCUGAAACUACAUCGGAGAGCAUAAUAUGCUGAUGUCAAGGACAGAUCAUCAAAUGGCGAUCAGGAGAAGCAUCAAUGUGUUUGAAGAACCAAUUAGACAAACAGUGAUGAAGCCAAGAAAAAAAUAAGGCCCAGAGACUCAGGAGUAAAAUCAUUGGGCCAAAAUUUCAGUGAAGGUUCAUGGGUGCUGGGAGAAGACAUGAGAUCCCUGGACCAGAGGAAAGGAUGUUUUCAUUCACAGAGCAGCAAACAACAUGCGCAUCAGCAUAUUUGUGUCCAUUCCCCUUGCCCCUCAAGUCCCACAAGGAUGAUGCAGAUGUGCCCAAAUGGCUGCCUGCACAAACAGUGGAUUGCAGGACAGGAACUCCAACUGAAGUGACCUGAUCUUUUAACUGGAUAAUAAGCAUGCUUACCCUUUGCUCU
Molecule: long non-coding RNA, 612 nt
Organism: Suricata suricatta (meerkat)
Lineage: Eukaryota; Metazoa; Chordata; Mammalia; Carnivora; Herpestidae
Exons: 3
Source: RefSeq, a predicted model, not a curated record